UGGAUCCAAGAACCGAGGAAGUAAAAUUAAAAGAAAAAGAACCCAGACAGAUCAAAUUCAUACAGAUCUUAGCGAACUUGGAGUAGCCCGCAAGAAAACCUCGUUACCAGUUGGUGGAAAGAAAUGUGAAGCUUUCUGUCUCCUCUGGGUAAAAGAGGAUUUAUG
Molecule: long non-coding RNA, 165 nt
Filed under: Chinchilla lanigera (long-tailed chinchilla)
Lineage: Eukaryota; Metazoa; Chordata; Mammalia; Rodentia; Chinchillidae
Description: lncRNA (ENSCLAG00000022638.1)
Source: RNAcentral